RNAcentral lists this ribosomal RNA (301 nucleotides) under uncultured bacterium. RNAcentral describes it as "partial 16S ribosomal RNA". It matches the Rfam family "Bacterial small subunit ribosomal RNA", at positions 509 to 809 of the family's 1533-position model. The record is from RNAcentral.
CAGUCGCCGCGGGAAUACGUAGGGUGCGAGCGUUAAUCGGAAUUACUGGGCGUAAAGCGUGCGCAGGCGGUUCGUUAAGACAGAUGUGAAAUCCCCGGGCUUAACCUGGGAACUGCAUUUGUGACUGGCGAGCUAGAGUAUGGCAGAGGGGGGUAGAAUUCCACGUGUAGCAGUGUAAUGCGUAGAGAUGUGGAGGAAUACCGAUGGCGAAGGCAGCCCCCUGGGCCAAUACUGACGCUCAUGCACGAAAGCGUGGGGAGCAAACAGGAUUAGAUACCCCUGUAGUCCCUGUCUCUUAUAA